This 482-nucleotide ribosomal RNA is filed under the name uncultured bacterium. RNAcentral describes it as "bacterial SSU rRNA". It matches the Rfam family "Bacterial small subunit ribosomal RNA", at positions 30 to 507 of the family's 1533-position model. The record is from RNAcentral.
AUUGAACGCUGGCGGCAUGCCUUACACAUGCAAGUCGAACGGUAACAGGUCUUCGGAUGCUGACGAGUGGCGAACGGGUGAGUAAUACAUCGGAACGUGCCCGAUCGUGGGGGAUAACGCAGCGAAAGCUGUGCUAAUACCGCAUACGAUCUACGGAUGAAAGCGGGGGAUCGCAAGACCUCGCGCGGACGGAGCGGCCGAUGGCAGAUUAGGUAGUUGGUGGGAUAAAAGCUUACCAAGCCGACGAUCUGUAGCUGGUCUGAGAGGACGACCAGCCACACUGGGACUGAGACACGGCCCAGACUCCUACGGGAGGCAGCAGUGGGGAAUUUUGGACAAUGGGGGAAACCCUGAUCCAGCCAUGCCGCGUGCAGGAUGAAGGCCUUCGGGUUGUAAACUGCUUUUGUACGGAGCGAAACGGCUCUCUCUAAUACAGGGGGCUAAUGACGGUACCGUAAGAAUAAGCACCGGCUAACUACGUG